GACGAACGCUGGCGGCGUGCCUAAUGAAUGCGAGUCGAACGAGAUGCGGCUGAAGCGAUCCUUCGGGAUCAAUUCGGCCAUCCAUCAAGUGGCAAACGGGUGAGUAACACGUGGGUAACGUGCCUCGGAGACGGGAAUAACAACAGGAAACUGUUGCUAAUACCCGAUAGUCUGGAAGUGGCAUAAGUCACUUCCAGUAAAGGUCAGCCGCUCCGAGAUCGGCCCGCGUCCCAUUAGCUUGUUGGUGAGGUAACGGCCCACCAAGGCGACGAUGGGUAGCUGGUCUGAGAGGACGAUCAGCCACACUGGGACUGAGAUAUGGUCCAGACUCCUACGGGAGUUAGCAUCCGGGAAUCUUGCGCAAUGGGCGAAAGCCUGACGCAGCGACGCCGCGUGGGUGAUGAAGGCCUGCGGGUCGUAAAGCCCUGUCAAGAGGGAAGAAUAAAUGACGGUACCUCUAAAGGAAGCCCCGGCUAACUACGUG
RNAcentral lists this ribosomal RNA (484 nucleotides) under uncultured bacterium. RNAcentral's name for it is "bacterial SSU rRNA". It matches the Rfam family "Bacterial small subunit ribosomal RNA", at positions 28 to 507 of the family's 1533-position model. The record is from RNAcentral.